This 69-nucleotide transfer RNA is filed under the name Thalassoma ballieui. RNAcentral's name for it is "tRNA-Ala". It matches the Rfam family "tRNA". Rfam says of the family: Transfer RNA (tRNA) molecules are approximately 80 nucleotides in length. Their secondary structure includes four short double-helical elements and three loops (D, anti-codon, and T loops). The record is from RNAcentral. Lineage: Eukaryota; Metazoa; Chordata; Actinopteri; Labriformes; Labridae. RNAcentral also lists the same sequence under 2 other names.
AAGGCUUUAGCUUAAUUAAAGCGUCUGUUUUGCAUGCAGAAGAUGUGGGGUAAUGUCCCGCAAGUCUUA